This 232-nucleotide ribosomal RNA is filed under the name uncultured bacterium. RNAcentral describes it as "partial 16S ribosomal RNA". It matches the Rfam family "Bacterial small subunit ribosomal RNA", at positions 99 to 334 of the family's 1533-position model. The record is from RNAcentral.
CGGACGGGUGAGUAAUGUCUGUGAAACUGCCUGAUGGAGGGGGAUAACUACUGGAAACGGUAGCUAAUACCGCAUAACGUCGCAAGACCAAAGAGGGGGACCUUCGGGCCUCUUGCCAUCGGAUGUGCCCAGAUGGGAUUAGCUAGUAGGUGGGGUAACGGCUCACCUAGGCGACGAUCCCUAGCUGGUCUGAGAGGAUGACCAGCCACACUGGAACUGAGACACGGUCCAG